AACGAGAAUAAAGCGUGAAGGAUAACGUUGCGUCAGCAACGGCCCGUAGGGCGAGGCGAAGCCGAGUCAUCCUGCACAACCCACCA
Molecule: small RNA, 86 nt
Filed under: Salmonella enterica subsp. enterica serovar Hvittingfoss
Lineage: Bacteria; Pseudomonadati; Pseudomonadota; Gammaproteobacteria; Enterobacterales; Enterobacteriaceae
Also listed under: 3 other names
Description: partial RtT sRNA
Rfam family: RtT RNA
About the family: This family represents a bacterial cis-regulatory element known as RtT RNA. The exact function of RtT is unknown although it is thought that it may be involved in changing the cellular response in relation to amino acid starvation.
Source: RNAcentral